This is a non-coding RNA of Oncorhynchus mykiss (rainbow trout), 447 nucleotides long. NCBI's taxonomy places the organism in Eukaryota, Metazoa, Chordata, Actinopteri, Salmoniformes, Salmonidae. The record is from RefSeq and is a predicted model, not a curated record.
UGGCGUGGUUUGCUGAUGUCAACGUAGUGAACAGUGUCCCAUGGUCGCGGUGGGAUUAUGGUAUGGGCAGGCAUAAACUACGGACAACAAACACAAUUGCAAUUAAUCGUUGACAGUGUUAAUGCACAGACAUACCGUGACGAAAUCCUGAGGCCCAUUGUCGUGCCAUUCUUCCGCUGUAAUCCCCUCACGUUUCAGCAUGCUAAUGCACUGCUCCAUGUCGCAAGGAUCUGUACACAAUUCCUGGAGGGUGACAAUGUCGCAGUUCUUCCAUGGCCUGCAUACUCCCCAGGCAGGUCACCCGUGGAGUAUGGCAUGUAAAUAUCGGUUCCCUAAGGACCACGCUGUCAUCAACUGUUUUAUUGUUUUUAAUGUGUUUUAUGGACUCUUGAAAGAUGAGUCCCAAUGAGGACUAAAAUAUCCUAAUAAAAUGUUUUGUGAAGGCUA